Molecule: ribosomal RNA, 163 nt
Filed under: Thermoflavimicrobium daqui
Lineage: Bacteria; Bacillati; Bacillota; Bacilli; Caryophanales; Thermoactinomycetaceae
Description: Bacterial large subunit ribosomal RNA
Rfam family: Bacterial large subunit ribosomal RNA
Source: Rfam by way of RNAcentral
AUAAGCGCUGAAAGCAUCUAAGCGCGAAGCCCACCUCAAGAUGAGAUUUCCCUCUGACUUGUUCAGGUAAGACCCCUUGUAGAUGACGAGGUGGAUCGGUCCGAGGUGUAAGCACAGCAAUGUGUUUAGCUGACGGAUACGAAUCGGUCGAGGGCUUAACCUA